This 1339-nucleotide long non-coding RNA is filed under the name Macaca fascicularis (crab-eating macaque). RNAcentral's name for it is "lncRNA (ENSMFAG00000056173.1)". Lineage: Eukaryota; Metazoa; Chordata; Mammalia; Primates; Cercopithecidae. The record is from RNAcentral.
AAAAAAAAAAAAUCUACAUCAAAGGUUAGAAAGUUUUCAAAUUAACAUCCUAACUUCACACCAAGAGGAACUAGAGAAACAAGAGCAAAUCAGUCCCAAAGCUAGCAAGAGAAAGGAAAUAACUGAAAUCAGAGCUGAACUGAGAGAAAUUGAGAUGCAAAAACCCAUACAAAAGAUUAACAAAUCCGGGUUUUGUUUCUUCAAAAUAACAAACCAGAUUGAUUGAGCACUAGCUAGACUAAUAAAGCAAAAAAGAGAGGAGAUAAAAAUAAAUACAGUCAGAAAUGACAAAGGGAACAUUACCACCAAUCCCAAAUAAAUUAAAAAAAAAAAAAACACUCAGAGACUACUACGAACAACUCUAUGCACACAAACUAGAAGAAAUGAAUAAAUUAUUGGAAACAUACAACCUCCUAAGAUUGAACUAGGAAGAAAUUGAAACCCUGAACAGACUAAUAACAAGUUUCAAGAUUGUGUUAGUAAUAAAAAGCCUACCAACCAGAAAAAGUCCAGGACCAGAAGGAUUCACAGCUGAGUUCUACCAUAUGCAUAAAGAAGAGCUGGUACCUUUCCUACAGAAACUAUUCUGAAAAUUUAAGGAGGAAGGACUCCUCCCUAAUUUAUUCUAUGAGGUCAACAUCAUUCUGAUACCAAAACCUGGCAGAGACACAACAAAAAAAGAAAACUAGCAAAAAAAGAAAAUACUAGCAAAUUGAACCCAACAGCACAUUAAAACUCUAAUCCACCACAAUCAAGUAGGCUUUAUCCCUGGAACACAAGGUUGGUUCAACAUAUGCAAAUUAGUAAAUGUGAUUCACUACAUAAGCAGAACUAAAAACAAAAACCAUCUAAUCUUCAACAAGGCUGACAAAAACAAGCAAUGGGAAAAGCAUUCCCUAUUCAAUAAAUGGUGCUGAGAUAACUAGGUAGCCAUAUGCAAAAAAUUGAAACUGAACCCCUCCCUUAUACCACAUAUGAAAAUCAAUCCAACGUGGAUUAAAGACUUAAAUAUGAAACCCAAAACUAUAAAAACCCUGGAAGAUAACCUAGGAAAUUCCAUUCUCAGCAUAGCCCCUGACAAAGAUUUCAUGACAAAGGUGACAAAAGCAAAAAUUAAUAAAUGUGACCUAAUUAACCUAAAAAGCUUCUGCACAGCAAAAUAAACUAUCAAUACAGUAAACAGACAACCUAUAGAAUAGGAUAAAAUAUUUGCAAAUGCACGCCUGUAGUCCCAGCUACUCAGGACACUGAGGCAGGAGAAUUGCUUGAACCUGGGAGGCAAAGUUUGCAGUGAGCCGAGCCCACACCACUGCCCUCCAGCCUGGUGACAGAGUGAGAC